AUUAUUGCACCAGACCCCGUCGCCUAUUUAAACCCGCCUCCCCCCUCCGGGGAUCUCACUUUGUACGGGAGUUCCUUCGAUCCCUUCUUCAUUGUCGAUAUGGAUGCGGAUGCGGUUUGGAUGUCAGCCAAGAGUCUCAAAGCCCACAAGAGGGAAGGCACUGCAGCUUCUGGGUUGGCGAAGAAGGCGAGGGUAGAAGAGACAGAUCCGACCGCAUUUCGCCUUGAUCGC
This 231-nucleotide long non-coding RNA is filed under the name Elaeis guineensis (African oil palm). Its description in RNAcentral is "long non-coding RNA (EGUI_LNC015595)". The record is from RNAcentral. Lineage: Eukaryota; Viridiplantae; Streptophyta; Magnoliopsida; Arecales; Arecaceae.